Non-coding RNA from Xyrichtys novacula (pearly razorfish), 596 nucleotides. The record is from the annotation of a GenBank genome assembly. NCBI's taxonomy places the organism in Eukaryota, Metazoa, Chordata, Actinopteri, Labriformes, Labridae.
CGCCUAUUAAACUCCCUGAUGGGUUUAAAGUGAUCCUACGUGCUGGAGGAAGUAUUCGUGUUCAGGUAAAUUCUGCCGAAGCGGGAAUCUGGAGUGAUUAAGUAGGAAUGCCAUGAGCGAGUCACUGGUGAAACGUUAUCCUCAUGGAAAAUCUUCCGAGCUGCCUCUUUGACACGCUGCCCACAUAUUUUAUAGCACUGUGUUAAUAUGAGAGGCACUUCAGCAGCCAGAGAAAGGUCUGGAAGGAGAGCAGAUCUACAGCUCGGAUAAGCAAUCCAAGAUGAAACGCUAACCAGGCCAGCCGACGAUUGCCUGUUAUUUAUAGACGGCAGAAAGGCGAGCUUGUUAAGCUCUUUAUUUGGGGCAAUAGUUGGAAGUGUGAUCUCAGAUUCACUGCAGGUUUCUGGAUUUUGUCUGUUACUUAACUCACUGGACUCUGGAUGCUUCAGCUUCAUCGUGUCGGUGGUAUUUUUAUUUUUGUAACUAAGUUGUCAUGAAAACACUGUCGACUGGCAGCUGUUCACACCUAAUCUGACUUUAACUAUCGAACAUCGGUUCUCAUGAGUCACUCUGAGUAAAAGACUGAGAUAUUUCAG